This is an RNA transcript of Pseudophryne corroboree (corroboree frog), 3656 nucleotides long. It is a transcript of the gene named telomere repeat binding bouquet formation protein 1, with no coding region annotated. The transcript is spliced from 21 exons. NCBI's taxonomy places the organism in Eukaryota, Metazoa, Chordata, Amphibia, Anura, Myobatrachidae. The record is from RefSeq and is a predicted model, not a curated record.
UCACGUAACGGGGUUUUUUUUGGGCGGGAAACGCGAGGCGAGGGAUCAGUUCAUAGUCAUACAGUAAAGCGGCCGCUGAGUCCCGAACAUUUGUUGCCCGGUGAGGGCGGGUGUGCUCCGUCCUAUGACUGCCGUCACACAGAGCACCAAGCAAUAUGAAUACUACAGAAUCUGCACAGUUUGGGGGCAGAACUGCAUCAAUUGAAAUGAAGACCGAUCUCAACCUAUUAUUGGAAUGUCUGAAAUUUCAAAUGGAUAAUCCUGACUCUCAGAAAGAGACUUUGGUGGCUGUUCGCUCCAUCUGCCAGAAUAACAGUGAUUUAUGUAUUGUUACAGGUGAUGCAAGUGACUAUUUCAGAGAAAUUGGUGGCUUAAUAUUCGUCAAUAACCUCGCAAAAUCCAGCGCUCAUACAAUUUUAAAAGAGGCUUCUUUGUAUACUCUAGGAGUUCUCGCAGAGAGCAAUGUAUAUUGCCAGCAAACCUUGUGCACCUUGGAUCUCUUUGAAGAUGUCCAUGCAGUGUUAUCUAAUAAGCAAUUUGCUGUUAAUUUAAAAAGAAUGUCUGUUUUUAUUCUUCUAGUCUUAGUUUCAAAUAACAAGACUGGUCAAACUCUUGCUAGAGAAUCAAGAUGUAUAGACAUACUUCUCAUUUUAUUUAGCAAAAUGUUGACGCGUAACAUGGUUCUGCCCACUGAAAGCACAAAUCAGCAAUAUCAUCUGUGGUCAUCUAUCUGCAGUGCUCUAUGUUCCUGUGUCAAUAACCCACAAAACGAGGAAAACCAGAAACUGUGCAGUUCAGCAUUUCCACAGGCAAAUGAAUGGCUGCAGCACUCUAUCCAACCAGCGAUAACGCGGCCUAUCUGUUCACUGAUUGGCCUGACUACUGCCAAUAACAGCUUUGCACAGGAUUACUUUGCUUCAGUUGGUGGACUUGAUACAUUGGCUGAGGUCCUCCUGCAACUGGUGAAGGGUGUACAGGCAAAACGAUCAAGUAUCAGACUGGCUGUUGCAGUAACAAAGACCUUGGAUGCCUGCAUCGCAGAGAACCUUACAGCUAUACAUCACUUGUCAGAGCACGGCGUUGUAUCAAGUCUGAUAAGCCUGUUGUCCUGUGGACAUUUGGAAGCAGAAGACAUGUUCAGCAUUGUGCUUACUGUUGGCCACUGUACUGAGGACUGCGAGCCAAAUCAAUAUGAGCUACUGAAAUGCAACGGACUCCCCCUCAUGAUUCAGGUGCUGAGUGAAUCAAAGGACGAUGAGUUACACAAAGCAGCAACAUUUGUGCUUCAGAACUGCAGGCACAUCACUGAAACAUUGUCUCUUAAUCUAAAUGAACACACACCAAGUAUAAAACUCACUUCAAACCAAAAUAAAAGGGACAAAUGUAUGGCUGAAUACUGGAAGAAUGCUAAAGUCAUCUAUGACAAAAUUGAGCAUCUACAGAAACAAUAUGAUGAGAAUAUCUCUAACAUUGAGGAACCUGGUAGAACAGAGAACAUCAGUUCUAGGUAUAGGAAAGCAGUGAGCGCACCGGGCCGAGCCAUAGUUCCAUGUUUUCCAAAGAACGUGGCUGAUCAUGAUAUCGCACAGAAAUCACAAAACAAUUGUUCUAAUGCUUCCCAGUGUUUAAACAGAGGAGUAAGUGCAUGCAGAGAGAGUGUUCCAUUGGAAAAAGUAAGAAGACAGAUUUUUCCACACACUGCUACACAGCAAAACUCAUCAGCGUCAGGUCGCACCAGUAAAUCUCCCAGUCACAGUUGCAUUACUAUACAGGAGGCUAGUACAGAUUUACCCUGCAGAGCUCAGAAACUAAACUCAGACUCCUACAGAAAUAAUCUAUCUUUGAGGGAUGCAGUCACUCAGACUGUACCAUAUGAUAUGACGAAGACCUUACCUGCCGACUUGCACCGCUCACAGGGAGAGACAUUAGAAGAAGCCGAGCAGACUACUUCGACGUGUUCUAUAACUACUUUAAGGUUAAACGCCGCUAAACAAUCAACUGCAAACAACGCAGGAAUCAAUAUAGACCCCCUGACUUUAUGUGCUGACAUAAUCGACAAGGAGAUAAGUGGCAUUCUUGGUACUCGAGUCCUUUUGACGGAAUUGCGGUGUUCAGGCUGUUUAGCGACAGAUUUUGUCAUGAAUAGCAGGAACUGCAGCAAGAUCUUGCAGGAAUGUUCACAUUUGUGUGAUCGUCAUAGAAUUAUUCUACAGGCAGAAGAGAGGUAUAAGACGGAAUUCAAGAAAGUGAUGCGUGGCACCGGAUGCUCCAUAGCACAUAAGCAGUUGACACCUAUUAGAAGAGCAGGGGCAGUGCUUCAGAAUGAAUCAAAUUCCAGCCGUAUCCUGCUGACUCCUAUAAGGAAGGUAAUUAAUGAGGACAAGCAUCACAAAAAAGCAGUGUGUUUCUUGCACAAGCCACCUCCACAGUAAGAUUUUCUAACUCACUAGAACAAGUGCUAAAGAAACUUAUGAACAAGUCUCCUUUCAAUGCAGCUGCCGCCACAAUACUUUCAACUGGGAAAGAUCUUCAGAGGUCAUACCAUUUAUAUUCAGAGCUCUGCAGAAACUCUUUCCUCACAGUCAUCUUGUUUCGAGCUGCUCUUCCCUUCUGAGACUUGCACCAAAAAACAGAUUUUCCAGACUCGCACUUCAAAAGUGUUUUCUUUUUAAAGUAAUUAAGGCAAUAGUUUGAUUUUAUGUUACAAUCAUCCUGUGUGUUCAGGGCAACAGAAAGCCCUUUGUAAAAAAAAAAAAAAAGAAGGUUUGCAAGAUAAACAUUUCACACUUGGGGCAAAACUACAAUAUAACAUUUUACUUUCAAUAUUAUGUAAAGUGAACUCUAUGGAGUAAACGGGAUGCAAUUAAAAUAACGGCUUUGGGAUCUCUGCGUUCAAGAGACUGACGCCGGAAUUCCAACAGCUAGUGAAAUACCGACGCCCAGGAAUCCCGCCCACCUCCGGUUAUUUCCACUCGGUUGGUGGGUCCACACCACCAACCGAGUGGGAAUAUAACCUGUGGUGAGCCACCGGGCCCGAAGUAUGGCCAGCACAGUGAACCCACAAGGGGACUCGCCGGAUUCCAACAGACAGGAUGUGGCUGUCUGUAUACUGACAGCCGGCAUCCAUCUGCUGGUAAGACGUAUAUAUUCCGAGCAAACAUAGCCAUCAACGCCAUAGUCCUUUUUGAUGAGGAUCUUAAAAUAGCCCAGUAAUCUAAAUUGUUCCUGCAAUUCAUGGUAUUGUGAACCUAAAUACUCCCAACAUUUCCACUACAUUGUACAAAUAGGAAACGCAUGAAUCCACAACAUAAACUUAAAUAUGAUAUUUUAUUUGUGGAAAAACAUUGUGAAGUUCAUGCGUUAAGACAUUUUUAACAUCGGGUUAAGCGCACAACAAUUUAUCAUGGGCCUUGGUCACUUGUCUAAUAAUUGGCAUUUUAAUCAUCAAUAGUAAAUACUUUUGUCCAAUGAGAAGAUAGAAAACAUUGAUAUAAAUAAGACUCCUAUACUUAGGAGCUUAACAUUAAUAAAUUAAGCUAUAUUAAUUUGGUAGAAUCGAAGGGUUCAAGUCAACAGUAAAAAAUUUGGCCAGAGUGUUUUUGAAUUUUACUUCACAACUGUAAAUUAGUCUUUUUUUUUCUUAUGAAGGAUUUGGU